Molecule: ribosomal RNA, 254 nt
Filed under: uncultured bacterium
Lineage: Bacteria
Description: partial 16S ribosomal RNA
Rfam family: Bacterial small subunit ribosomal RNA
Source: RNAcentral
UACGGGGGGAGCAAGCGUUGUUCGGAUUUACUGGGCGUAAAGGGCGCGUAGGCGGCCACCGCAAGUCAGUUGUGAAAUCUCUGGGCUUAACCCAGAAAGGUCAACUGAUACUGCGGGGCUAGAGUGCAGAAGGGGCAACUGGAAUUCUCGGUGUAGCGGUGAAAUGCGUAGAGAUCCGGAAGAACACCGGUGGCGAAGGCGGCCUGCUGGGCAGUAGCUGACACUGAGGCGCGACAGCGUGGGGAGCGAACAGG